RNAcentral lists this ribosomal RNA (497 nucleotides) under fungal endophyte. Its description in RNAcentral is "eukaryotic LSU rRNA". The stretch from base 180 to 333 matches the Rfam family "5.8S ribosomal RNA". The record is from RNAcentral. Lineage: Eukaryota; Fungi.
CAUUGCUGGAACGCGCCCCAGGCGCACCCAGAAACCCUUUGUGAACUUAUACCUUUUGUUGCCUCGGCGCAUGCUGGCCUCUAGUAGGCCCCUCACCCCGGUGAGGAGAAGGCACGCCGGCGGCCAAGUUAACUCUUGUUUUUACACUGAAACUCUGAGAAAAAACACAAAUGAAUCAAAACUUUCAACAACGGAUCUCUUGGUUCUGGCAUCGAUGAAGAACGCAGCGAAAUGCGAUAAGUAAUGUGAAUUGCAGAAUUCAGUGAAUCAUCGAAUCUUUGAACGCACAUUGCGCCCUCUGGUAUUCCGGAGGGCAUGCCUGUUCGAGCGUCAUUUCAACCCUCAAGCAUUGCUUGGUGUUGGGGCACUGCUUCUAACGAAGCAGGCCCUGAAAUCUAGUGGCGAGCUCGCCAGGACCCCGAGCGUAGUAGUUAAACCCUCGCUCUGGAAGGCCCUGGCGGUGCCCUGCCGUUAAACCCCCAACUUUUGAAAAUUGA